AGCCAUGUGGUGAGCACAGAGCGAACUAUUCUUUCGCCUUUUACUAAAGAAUACCGUGUGCUCUCCACGCUAAGUGGCAUACGCCUAUUUUUGGAGGGUUCUUACUUCACUGUGAGAC
This 118-nucleotide small nuclear RNA is filed under the name Capsella rubella. Its description in RNAcentral is "U5 spliceosomal RNA". It matches the Rfam family "U5 spliceosomal RNA". From Rfam's summary of the family: U5 RNA is a component of both types of known spliceosome. The precise function of this molecule is unknown, though it is known that the 5' loop is required for splice site selection and p220 binding, and that both the 3' stem-loop and the Sm site are important for Sm protein binding and cap methylation. The record is from Rfam by way of RNAcentral. Lineage: Eukaryota; Viridiplantae; Streptophyta; Magnoliopsida; Brassicales; Brassicaceae.